Bos taurus (domestic cattle) is the source of this 73-nucleotide non-coding RNA. The record is from Rfam. NCBI's taxonomy places the organism in Eukaryota, Metazoa, Chordata, Mammalia, Artiodactyla, Bovidae.
UCCCUGGUGGUCCAGUGGUUAGGACUCUAUGCUUCCAAUGCAGAGGGCCCAGGUUUGAUCCCUGGUUGGGAAA